GCUGUUUUUGUUUGUUUGUGUGUUUCUUUCGUGAAGCGCCCAUGGAAGUGUCCUAACUGGAGAUGCUACGUGAUGCUACGCCGGUGACAAUCCACAAGCUUGCGACUGAUUUUCUCGAGGCACCAGAUCGGAUGCAAUGAUCGACGACCACCCCCUUAGCCCACGCUCGGGAACCUAAAAAAUUGGAAACAUGUCGUCUGAAAAGUUGAAGGCGACGCUGCAGGAGGAAUACCCGCUUCACUGGCUGGCUUGGCACAACGACUAUGACGCCCUCAAAAUCUUGUUGGAGCAGAAUGCGGACGGCAUUGAGCAGCGGGACUGCAGGGGCCGAUCGGCGCUCAUGCUGGCGGUCACCCUGGGACACCUGGAAGCGUCCAAGAUACUCCUCAACCACGGAGCCAACGUCAACGUAGAGAACAACGACGGCUACACGGUGGUGCACGAAGCGGUGAGCACUGGUGAUCCGGAGCUCCUGGCGGAGGUGCUGACUCACCGCGACCUCCAACGUUACAGCACAUCAGUCGGCGGUAUCCCUGAUCUUCUCAAACGCAUCCGGGACACCCCUGACUUCUAUGUGGAAAUGAAGUGGGAGUUCACGAGCUGGGUACCCCUCCUGUCACGGAUGUGUCCGAGCGACACCUACAAGGUUUACAAAAGCGGCCCGAAUGUUCGCAUCGACACCACCUUGCUGGGCUUCGACCAGUCCAGCUGGCAGCGAGGACGCCGGAGCUACAUCUUCAAGGGCCAAGAGGACCUGGCGAUCAUGAUGGAGGUGGACCACGACGCCUGCCAGGUGCACGUGGAGCAGAUGCAGGUGCUGCCCCCGGAGUAUGUGGACCUGGCAGGCAGCCUGAGGCCCUCCCCGGACGCCGUCUCGGCCAGGCUCACCUCCCCCGUGGUGGCCACCUACAUCGACACGGACAAGAUCAGCUUCGAAAGAAACAAGUCUGGGAUCCUCGGCUGGAAGAGCGACAAGAACGAAACCAUCAAUGGCCACAACUGCAAGGUGUUCAGUGCCACCAACGUGGAGCUGGUGACCAAGACGCGGACGGAGCAUCUGUCCGAGGUAGACAAGGCACGCCAUCGAGCUGCACGCUCCCCGCUCCAGUCCUUCCUCGGCACCGUGCAGGUGGAGGAGGCGGCCGGCGUUCCCAAUGGGGACGUGAUGGAGUGCCGGGGCAACCCGUGCCACAUCCGUCCGGAGGAGUACUUCAACGCCCAGCUGGACCUGGGGGGGAGGGACAUUGGGCGGCCCAGGGAGACCACCGUGCGCACCCACAAGUUCAGGGCCAACCUCUGGCUCUGCGAGGACUACCCCCUCUCUCUGCCCCAGCAGAUUCUUCCCAUCGUCGACCUCAUGUCCAUCAACAGCUCGCACUUCGCGAGACUACGAGAUUUCAUCACCCUCCAGCUUCCCGCAGGUUUCCCAGUCAAGAUCGAGAUCCCGCUGUUCCACGUGCUGAAUGCGAGGAUCACGUUCGGCAACAUCAACACCGUGGACGAGUCGGUGGCCGGGGUGACGACCCGCCGCGACGACGGGGUGGUGACAUGCAGCAUCGAGGACUACUGCUUCGAGCCCCCCGGCGGCUACACCAAGCUGGACGGCGCGAGGGCCCCUCGUGCUCCUCCUCCUCGCCCCAGGGACCCCGAAACUAGACGCAAACAUAGGGAGAAGCGUCGCCAAGAGAUCUGUGCCAAAUACGGCCAGAAAACGGCAGCCCUCGCCGUGCCCGCCAAAGGGGCCCACUUGCCGGUGCCAACAAGCUUCGACAGUUCAGCGUUGACGAGGACGACGAGCUCCUCCAGUACGCCAUCGAACAGUCGCUCGUGGAGGCAGGCAGCGAGGAGGAUCAGGUCACUGUUUGGGAAGCCCUGACUGCGAGCCGGCCAGCCGUCACCCCAGAGCUCGACGAAGAUCACGCACUGCAGAGGGCCAUCCAGGAGAGCAUCGCGAGCUACCAGCGUUCGUGCGGCAGCGCGGAGGAGGUGGCCGGCGGGAAGGCGGCGAGGGACUACGCGCCGCCCGCGGCCAAGGCCGCCACAGGGAACGGGGGCGAGGAGGAUCUG
This 2067-nucleotide unclassified non-coding RNA is filed under the name Ixodes scapularis (black-legged tick). Its description in RNAcentral is "ankyrin repeat domain-containing protein 13D, transcript variant X1". Lineage: Eukaryota; Metazoa; Arthropoda; Arachnida; Ixodida; Ixodidae. The record is from RNAcentral.